RNAcentral lists this non-coding RNA (385 nucleotides) under Streptomyces sp. NRRL S-1521. RNAcentral describes it as "Bacterial large subunit ribosomal RNA". It matches the Rfam family "Bacterial large subunit ribosomal RNA", at positions 1370 to 1658 of the family's 2925-position model. The record is from Rfam by way of RNAcentral. Lineage: Bacteria; Bacillati; Actinomycetota; Actinomycetes; Kitasatosporales; Streptomycetaceae.
CUGCCCAGGGUAAGUCGGGACCUAAGGCGAGGCCGACAGGCGUAGUCGAUGGAUAACCGGUUGAUAUUCCGGUACCCGCUGUGAAGCGUCAAACAUCGAAUCAGGCGAUGCUAAGUCCGUGAAGCCGCCCUGGAGCCUUCGGGCAAAGGGGAGUGGUGGAGCCGACGGACCAGACUUGUAGUAGGUGAGUGAUGGGGUGACGCAGGAAGGUAGUCCAGCCCGGGCGGUGGUUGUCCCGGGGUAAGGGUGUAGCCCGUCAUCUAGGCAAAUCCGGAUGACAUGUGGGUGAGACCUGAUGCCGAGCCGAUUGUGGUGAAGUGGAUGAUCCUAUGCUGUCGAGAAAAGCCUCUAGCGAGUUUCAUGGCGGCCCGUACCCUAAACCGAC